Molecule: ribosomal RNA, 683 nt
Filed under: Faecalibacterium prausnitzii
Lineage: Bacteria; Bacillati; Bacillota; Clostridia; Eubacteriales; Oscillospiraceae
Description: bacterial SSU rRNA
Rfam family: Bacterial small subunit ribosomal RNA
Source: RNAcentral
UGUUGAGGAAGAUAAUGACGGUACUCAACAAGGAAGUGACGGCUAACUACGUGCCAGCAGCCGCGGUAAAACGUAGGUCACAAGCGUUGUCCGGAAUUACUGGGUGUAAAGGGAGCGCAGGCGGGAAGACAAGUUGGAAGUGAAAUCCAUGGGCUCAACCCAUGAACUGCUUUCAAAACUGUUUUUCUUGAGUAGUGCAGAGGUAGGCGGAAUUCCCGGUGUAGCGGUGGAAUGCGUAGAUAUCGGGAGGAACACCAGUGGCGAAGGCGGCCUACUGGGCACCAACUGACGCUGAGGCUCGAAAGUGUGGGUAGCAAACAGGAUUAGAUACCCUGGUAGUCCACACUGUAAACGAUGAUUACUAGGUGUUGGAGGAUUGACCCCUUCAGUGCCGCAGUUAACACAAUAAGUAAUCCACCUGGGGAGUACGACCGCAAGGUUGAAACUCAAAGGAAUUGACGGGGGCCCGCACAAGCAGUGGAGUAUGUGGUUUAAUUCGACGCAACGCGAAGAACCUUACCAAGUCUUGACAUCCUGCGACGGUGCUGGAAACAGUACUUUCCUUCGGGACGCAGAGACAGGUGGUGCAUGGUUGUCGUCAGCUCGUGUCGUGAGAUGUUGGGUUAAGUCCCGCAACGAGCGCAACCCUUAUGGUCAGUUACUACGCAAGAGGACUCUGGCCG